AGAGUUUGAUCCUGGCUCAGAAAGAACGCUGGCGGCAUGCUUAACACAUGCAAGUUGAACGAACAGUAGCAAUACUGUGAGUAGCAAACGGGUGAGUAAUACGUAGGAAUUUACCCUGUAGUACGGGACAACAGUUGGAAACGACUGCUAAUACCGUAUACGCUCUUCGGAGGAAAGAUUUAUCGCUAUAGGAUAAGCCUGCGCUAAAUUAGAUUGUUGGUAGGGUAAUGGCCUACCAAGUCGAUGAUUUAUAGCUGGUCUGAGAGGACGAUCAGCCACACUGGGACUGCGACACGGCCCAGACUCCUACGGGAGGCAGCAGUGAGGAAUAUUGGACAAUGGGCGCAAGCCUGAUCCAGCAAUGCCGCGUGAAUGAUGAAGGCCUUAGGGUUGUAAAAUUCUUUCGGUGGGGAAGAAACUGACGGUACCCACAGAAGAAGCUCCGGCUAACUCCGUGCCAGCAGCCGCGGUAAUACGGGGGGAGCUAGCGUUUUUCGGAAUUACUGGGCGUAAAGGGUGCGUAGGCGGUCAAUAAAGUUGAGAGUGAAAUCCCCGGGCUUAACCUGGGAACUGCUUUCAAAACUCAUUGACUAGAGAAUGAUAGAGGAUAGCAGAAUUCCUAGUGUAGAGGUGAAAUUCUUAGAUAUUAGGAGGAAUACCGGUGGCGAAGGCGGCUAUCUGGGUCAUUACUGACGCUGAGGCACGAAAGCGUGGGGAGCAAACAGGAUUAGAUACCCUGGUAGUCCACGCUGUAAACGAUGAGUGUUAGGUGUCGGGGUCGCAAGACUUCGGUGCCGCAGCUAACGCGUUAAACACUCCGCCUGGGGAGUAAGAUCGCAAGAUUAAAACUCAAAGGAAUUGACGGGGACCUGCACAAGUGGUGGAACAUGCGGUUUAAUUCGAUCUACGCGAAGAACCUUACCAACUCUUGACAUGGUGGUCGCGGGGUGCAGAAAUGUACUCCUUCAGCUAGGCUGGACCACACACAGGUGUUGCAUGGCCGUCGUCAGCUCGUGUUGUGAGAUGUUAGGUUAAGUCCUGCAACGAGCGCAACCCUUAUUCUUAUUUGCCAGCGGGUAAUGCCGGGAACUAUAAGGAAACUGCCAGCGAUAAGCUGGAGGAAGGUGGGGACGAAGUCAGGUCAGCAUGGCCCUUAUGGGUUGGGCUACACGCGUGUUACAAUGAUGACUACAAAGGGACGCAAAAGGGCGACCUCAAGCUAAUCCCAAAAAAAGUUAUCUUAGUGCGGAUUGCACCCUGCAACUCGGGUGCAUGAAGUUGGAAUCACUAGUAAUCGCAGAUCAGCACGCUGCGGUGAAUACGUUCACAGGUCUUGUACACACUGCCCGUCAAGCCAUGGAAGUUGACUUUAUCUGAAAUUGGUGAGCUAACCUUCGGGAAGCAGCCACUUAUGGUAGAGUUGAUGACUGGGGUUAAGUCGUAACAAGGUA
RNAcentral lists this ribosomal RNA (1451 nucleotides) under metagenome. RNAcentral's name for it is "bacterial SSU rRNA". It matches the Rfam family "Bacterial small subunit ribosomal RNA". The record is from RNAcentral.